GACGAACGCUGGCGGCGUGCUUAACACAUGCAAGUCGAACGGACAGGCCCUGCUUUUGUGGGGUUCUCGAGUGGCGAACGGGUGAGUAACACGUGUGUAACCUGCCCUUGACUUUGUGAUAACUUCAGGAAACUGGGGCUAAUACCGGAUAGGAGCUCCUGCUGCAUGGUGGGGGUUGGAAAGUUUCGGCGGUUGGGGAUGUUCUCGCUGCUUAUCAGCUUGUUUGUGUGGUAGUGGCUUACCAAGGCUUUGACGGGUAGCCGGCCUGAGAGGGUGACCGGCCACAUUGGGACUGAGGUACGGACCAGAAUCCUACGGGAGGCAGCAGGGGGGAAUAUUGCACAAUGGGCGGAAGCCUGAUGCGGCAACGCCGCGUGCGGGAUGACGGGCUUCGGGUUGUAAACCGCUUUCGAAUGUGACGAAGCGUGAGUGACGGUAAUGGGUAAAGAAGCACCGGCUAACUACGUG
RNAcentral lists this ribosomal RNA (468 nucleotides) under uncultured bacterium. Its description in RNAcentral is "partial 16S ribosomal RNA". It matches the Rfam family "Bacterial small subunit ribosomal RNA", at positions 28 to 507 of the family's 1533-position model. The record is from RNAcentral.